AGUGAACGCUGGCGGCAGGCCUAACACAUGCAAGUCGAGCGGCAGCGGGUCCCCGCGAGGGGAUGCCGGCGAGCGGCGGACGGGUGAGGAACACAUCGGAAUCUGCCUGGUUGUGGGGGAUAACGUAGGGAAACUUACGCUAAUACCGCAUGCGACCCUGAGUCGACGGACUUGGGGUGAAAGUGAGGGACCUUCGGGCCUCACGCGACCAGAUGAGCCGAUGUCGGAUAGCUAGUUGGCGGGGUAACGGCCCGCCAAGGCGACGAUCCGUAGCUGGUCUGAGAGGAUGAUCAGCCACACUGGGACUGAGACACGGCCCAGACUCCUACGGGAGGCAGCAGUGGGGAAUCUU
This 352-nucleotide ribosomal RNA is filed under the name uncultured bacterium. RNAcentral's name for it is "bacterial SSU rRNA". It matches the Rfam family "Bacterial small subunit ribosomal RNA", at positions 30 to 365 of the family's 1533-position model. The record is from RNAcentral.